AACGAACGCUGGCGGCAUGUCUAACACAUGCAAGUCGAACGAGACCUUCGGGUCUAGUGGCGCACGGGUGCGUAACGCGUGGGAACCUGCCCUUAGGUUCGGAAUAACUCCCCGAAAGGGGUGCUAAUACCGGAUAAUGUCUUCGGACCAAAGAUUUAUCGCCUUUGGAUGGGCCCGCGUUGGAUUAGCUAGUUGGUAGGGUAAAAGCCUACCAAGGCGACGAUCCAUAGCUGGUCUGAGAGGAUGAUCAGCCACACUGGGACUGAGACACGGCCCAGACUCCUACGGGAGGCAGCAGUGGGGAAUAUUGGACAAUGGGCGAAAGCCUGAUCAAGCAAUGCCGCGUGAGUGAUGAAGGCCUUAGGGUUGUAAAGCUCUUUUACCCGGGAUGAUAAUGACAGUACCGGGAGAAUAAGCUCCGGCUAACUCCGUG
RNAcentral lists this ribosomal RNA (433 nucleotides) under uncultured bacterium. Its description in RNAcentral is "partial 16S ribosomal RNA". It matches the Rfam family "Bacterial small subunit ribosomal RNA", at positions 29 to 507 of the family's 1533-position model. The record is from RNAcentral.